GGGGCUGAACUGGUAUCGACUCUGAUCGGACCGGGAUAGGAGAAGCGAGCCGAGGACUCCGAGUUUGCCUCGUAAAACACCUCGGAAACUUAUAACUGCCGCUGCGUAAAGCACGGUUGCCAUCCCUUAAAUGAUGGCCGUCGGCCCCAAGCUCGCCUGUGGUUUGGGGAUCCGGCGUCGCUUAGCAGGCUUGCCGUCCGUAGCACGCUCGAGGCGAAGGACGGGACUCUUAACUUGAGCUAGAUUCCGGCCGUUGCCGUCUGCGGGCCGGCCGGCGUCGAAACCUAACCGCGGACUACGCUCGUAGAAGACCUAUCGCGGGGUCGGAGGACCCGGGUUCGAUUCCCGGCAGCUCCACUU
This 360-nucleotide transfer-messenger RNA is filed under the name Actinomycetota bacterium. It matches the Rfam family "transfer-messenger RNA". Rfam says of the family: Bacterial tmRNA, also known as 10Sa RNA or SsrA, is named for its dual tRNA and mRNA-like properties. Its role is to liberate the mRNA from a stalled ribosome. To accomplish this part of the tmRNA is used as a reading frame that ends in a translation stop signal. Lineage: Bacteria; Bacillati; Actinomycetota. The record is from RNAcentral.